UCCGUAGGCGGGCGUCUAAGUCAGUGGUGAAAUCCCACAGCUUAACUGUGGAACUGCCUUUGAUACUGUUAGUCUUGAGUUAUAUGGAAGUAGAUAGAAUGUGUAGUGUAGCGGUGAAAUGCAUAGAUAUUACACAGAAUACCGAUUGCGAAGGCAGUCUACUACGUAUAUACUGACGCUAAUGGACGAAAGCGUGGGGAGCGAACAGGAUUAGAUACCCUGGUAGUC
RNAcentral lists this ribosomal RNA (228 nucleotides) under uncultured bacterium. RNAcentral describes it as "partial 16S ribosomal RNA". It matches the Rfam family "Bacterial small subunit ribosomal RNA", at positions 568 to 795 of the family's 1533-position model. The record is from RNAcentral.